AUGUAUUUCUUACAGAGUGAAACAGCUCCAUGUGAGAGGCUGCUGCAUCCCUCCCUCCCUGCUGGUACACCCCCGAACGCUCCAGGGCAAGGCACUUCCAGAAAUGUUGGUUCAGAUAUCAUCAGCCAGAAAAGGCAGCAGAUCCCACACAACCAGGGUACCCUAACCACCAGUCUAUUUAAAAUGAGAUUACCAAGCUUGAGGGCACAACUAUUUAUUUUGAUUGAAGCACUUGCUCAGCUGCUGGCAUUACUGGUGCAGUACUGAGAAAAAAUAAGGAACAAAAUGCAGAGCAUGUCCUGUUUGCCAGAAAUGGCCAGGAUGACUGCAGUCCUGAGGAAACAUUACUUCAGCAAUGCUGAUUAUCUGCAUGCAGGACCAAGUACCUCUUGAAUAUCCUCUGG
Molecule: long non-coding RNA, 404 nt
Filed under: Junco hyemalis (dark-eyed junco)
Lineage: Eukaryota; Metazoa; Chordata; Aves; Passeriformes; Passerellidae
Description: lncRNA (ENSJHYG00000011656.1)
Source: RNAcentral